GUGUUUGCUUUAGCAGCACAUACACUAAAAUUGGAACAUACAGAGAUUAGCACGGCUCCUGUACAAGGAUAAUAUGCAAAUUUGUAAAGUGUUCAAUAUUAAA
This is a small nuclear RNA of Ictidomys tridecemlineatus (thirteen-lined ground squirrel), 103 nucleotides long. The record is from Ensembl. NCBI's taxonomy places the organism in Eukaryota, Metazoa, Chordata, Mammalia, Rodentia, Sciuridae.